CAUGCAUGUCUAAGUAUAAACUGCUUAUACUGUGAAACUGCGAAUGGCUCAUUAAAUCAGUUAUAGUUUAUUUGGUGGUACCUUCUUACUCGGAAUAACCGUAAGAAAAUUAGAGCUAAUACGUGCGUAAAUCCCGACUUCUGGAAGGGACGUAUAUAUUAGAUAAAAGGCGACCGGGCUCUGCCCGACCCGCGGUGAAUCAUGAUAUCUUCACGAAGCGCAUGGCUUGUGCCGGCGCUGUUCCAUUCAAAUUUCUGCCUAUCAACUUUCGAUGGUAGGAAUAGAGGCCUACCAUGGUGGUAACGGGUGACGAGGAUUAGGGUUCGAUUCGGAGAGGGAGCCUGAGAAACGGCUACCACAUCCAAGGAAGGCAGCAGGCGCGCAAUUACCCAAUCCUGAUACGGGGAGGUAGUGACAAUAAAUAACAAUACCGGGCAUUUCAUGUCUGGUAAUUGGAAUGAGUACAAUCUAAAUCCCUAACGAGGAUCCAUUGGAGGGCAAGUCUGGUGCCAGCAGACGCGGUAAUUCCAGCUCCAAUAGCGUAUAUUAAGUUGUUGCAGUUAAAAAGCUCGUAGUUGAUUCGGGUGGGUUUCAGCGUCCGCCUAUGGUGAGUACUGCUGUGCCUUCCUUACUGUCGGGGACCUGCUUCUGGCUUCAUUGUCCGGGACAGGGAUUCGGCAUGGUUACUUUGAGUAAGAUUAGAGUGUUCCAAAGCAGGCUUACGCCGUGAAUACUUUGCAUGGAAUAACAUGAUAGGACUCUGCCCUAUUCUGUUGGCUGUAGGAGUGGAGUAAUGAUUAAGAGGAACAGUCGGGGCAUUCGUAUUUCAUUGUCAGAGGUGAAAUUCUUGGAUUUAUGAAAGACGAACUACUGCGAAAGCAUUGCCAAGGAUGUUUCAUUAUCAAGAACGAAAGUUGGGGGCUCGAAACGAUUAGAUACCGUCGUAGUCCUCACCAUAAACGAUGCCGACUAGGAUUGGCGGACGUUUUUGCAUGACUCCGUCAGCACCUGAGAGAAAUCAAAGUUUUUGGGUUCCGGGGGAGUAUGGUCGCAAGGCUGAA
RNAcentral lists this ribosomal RNA (1061 nucleotides) under uncultured eukaryote. Its description in RNAcentral is "SSU rRNA". It matches the Rfam family "Eukaryotic small subunit ribosomal RNA", at positions 50 to 1141 of the family's 1831-position model. The record is from RNAcentral.